Musca domestica (house fly) is the source of this 7071-nucleotide long non-coding RNA. RefSeq lists it as uncharacterized. NCBI's taxonomy places the organism in Eukaryota, Metazoa, Arthropoda, Insecta, Diptera, Muscidae. The record is from RefSeq and is a predicted model, not a curated record. The transcript is spliced from 3 exons.
UUCAUUUGUUUGCCUUUGUUUUUGAAAUCAAUACACUAAAAAAUCUUACAAUUAUCAAUUUUCUCUAUUCUCGCGAUCUUUUACUUUAUGUUACCUUUGUGAAUCCUUCAGAUUCAAGUUUUUUGUGAAUCAAACAAGUAGUACCAGCCCAAAUAGGAUGAAUUCACGAUUCAGUUUUAGCUAUAGUGCCGAUAUAUUUGUUUCGCCUGAUUUUAUAUUUACGAACUUGGAAUUAAAGGUCGCACACAAUUUAAAAAUAGCAGUAAAGUAGUACCAGCCCAAAUUUAAGCCGCAAUACGCAAUAUAUAGGUAUUGUAAUAGGCAUGAUAUACUUCAAAUCUAAUAUUAUUGUUACGGAUGGCCAGACUAGGUAUGUAUAAUGGUGUACAGCAUCACAUAGUCGGGCGAAUAUUUUUCUCACAACAACGUUGGCGAUAGGUGGUAAAAGUGACAUCAUAUUGUUUCUCCCGAAAAUGAUUUUAUAAACCCUAUAGUUUAAAAGAAUGGGAGUUUCAUAAAAGACCAAGGAACAGAAUUGUGAAAUGCAGAAACUGUCAACUAUUGGGCCAAGGCAAAAAGUGGUGCUCAGUACGUACCAAGUGCGGCAAUAGCGGCGGUAAGUACAAAAUCCUCAACGGACCUCGAGGCAAAAUAGAUGAGAUAGUGGAAUUUAUGAGUCGGAGCAAAAAUUAAGAUCGCAGCGGUGCAGGAAACCAAGCUGAAUGAAAAUUGCAGCCUACAACGUUGUUAUGGUUACAAUGUACUAAGGAAGGAUCGCACCAGAAGUGGAGGUGGGGGAUUAGCGUUCCUGUUACACCAUUCUGUUCAGUACAGACCUAUCUCGCUUGAGCUAGUCUCUAGUCACCCAUACAUGGAAUGUAUGGGGGUAGCAGUCAAGUGUGGAACUGCCGAGGUAGAGGUCGCCGAUUAAUAGCUGUGAACCGCGUUAUUUGCCUGAUAUUAGCCCAUUAUUGGUAGGCAAUAACCGCCUGGUACUAGGGGAUUUUAAUGCCCACUAUGAGUUGUGGCGCUGGCAGAGCAGAUUGACUGCUCCACAUUCUUCACGGUUAACGAGGAUGCCCCCCACCCGAAUAAGGGGAGAGUGUCACAGUUCGCCAGAUUUAACCAUAGUGUCACCCGGUCUGAUAAAUGACGUGACUUGGCAACCCGUAAUUUCUCUUGGCUCAGACCAUCUCCCGAUAAUCGUCUCCAUAAGCAGGUCGCCCGAUUUCAUAAAGGAUGAUAGGACCUCAGGAAAAAAGGAUGAUAGGACCUCAGUCACUUUUAACGACGUAACGGUGACUGAUAAGAAGAGGUGCGCGGUAUAUUUUAACCGACAAUUUGUCGAGCACCCCGAGAGCGAUUGGGCGAAGCGAAGAGUACUACGUCGUAUCAGAUCUCUUCCCGCCGAGGAGGAACCACCACAGUUUACGAUGGGUGAUGUUGCAAAUGUCAUCCGUAACGCUAAGUCAUCCAAAGCGUUGGGCCCGAAACCUGGGAAAUGGGCCGUGUGGUCCCGCUACAGAAGCCAAGCAAGGAUGCCAGUAAAGGCGAAUCGUACAGGCCGAUUUCGCUUUUGUCGGCAGUAGCUAAGACUCUUGAGGCUUUAUAGUACGUUUAUAUAUAUGAGGGUUAACCCACUGGGUUUGGAUUUAAAUUGUCAUAUCCACUAUUUUUACUUCAAAUAAAUCCUCUCAAAGUAGGUUAACCCUACAAAAAGUUCUAACGUAAACAUGGCAUUACUCCUCCCCAGCAUUAGAGGAAGCUAUACAGUUGCCAACCACCAGCACGGAUUCCGUCCACAACAGCAUUACACGCCAUUUCCACACAUAUUAGUAGAGGACUGAACCAGAACCGGCCGUGUGACAGAACAGUGUUGGUAGCCCUUGACCUAUCAAAGGCAUUUGAUACGGUCAAUCAAGCCACACUGUUUGAAGACGUGUAGAGAACUACACUCCGGCCAAGUUUGAAACGUUGGAUAAUCAACUAUAUGUGUGUUGAGGUUCCUGGUUCAUUACACCGAUAGGCCAACAAUCGAUACCUCAACUAUUGCUGCUGUCGACCAGAGUGAUUGAUCGCUAAGCUAGAAGAAGCAAGAAGCUAAACUUUGCCACAACAAAAAGAAUAGUUUCAACUAAUAAAUAUAUAAAUUCAGACCGUCAGAGUCUUUUAAUUAAAACAAGUGUUUUAUUGAAGCCUUAACCACCAGUGCCUUAUUAGCAACACGUAAGGCUGGAAAUACAUAAAGAGCAUAUUUCGUUGGCUUAAGUCAGCGCUUUAUGUAUUUCCAGCUUAAGUAUCGCCUGUAUACUUGUUGUGUUGUCUAAUAUUCAUAGUUUUGUUGUUCGUCUUUGUGCAACAAAUAAUACACUUUCGGAUCUAAAUCUACUCUGUAGAUUUAGAACCCCUACAAGUCCAUACGCCUGUAUCGCAACUUGUACAAUGUGUGAACGCCAGUCGUACGUGGAAUCCCGGAACAAGAAGUCCAAAGCCCGUAGAGUAAAACAGGGAUUUCCCCAAGGUGGGGUGAUAUCUCCGGAACUGUUUAACCUCUACCUUUCCGGAAUUCCGCGCCCUCCAGACGGCAUCGAGAUCGUAACGUGUGCGGAUGAUUGUACGGUCAUGGCGUCGGGCCUAGUGGUCGAUGACAUAUGCGAAAGGCUGAACCCCUAUCUCGCGGAGCUUGCCGCAUACUUCCACGCGAGGAAUAUCAAAAUAUCCGCCACGAAAAUAUCUUAACCACAUGGUCUGCGGUGAUGAGAACACAGCUGAAUGUUCAGGUCGAGGGGAAUCUAAUACCGACCACGAACUACCCCAAGAUACUUGGGGUUACGUUCAACAGCAUGUUCAAGUCUUCCGCACAAGCCACAGCUAUUUGCGACAAGAUAAAAAGUAGGAACAAUUUCCUCAAGGCGCUAGCCGGCAGCACUUGGGGUGCGGACAAAGAAACCUUGUUGACUUCAUAUAACGCGAUAGGCUCCAGUAUGGUCUACGAAUACUAGUGCAUCGCAGUGGAAGCAUAUCCAGACCUGCCAGAACGCUGCCCUGAGAACUACGACAGGGUACCUUCUCACGACACCAGUGGACCAUCUACAUGAGGAGGCGAAAGUCCUUCCCUUACGUCAGCAAAAUCAUAUGCUUUCGUUGCAGUACCUGCUUGGGUGUUACCGUGAGAGUCAUCCCAACCAUCAUAUGGUGGAUAAAUCUCCCCCACCCAGGCCUGUCAGGAAGGACAUACAUGAUCUAGAGAGGGAGGUCCAGCGCUACAAGAGAGAACCUCUAGAUCAAGAAGCCUAUCAGACAGGUCUGAGUGGCAUUCACACCGAUGCAGUAGCGGAUGCUAUUAGCAGUUAUAAAGUGAAUGCCGUCCUCGGAGUCCACCCCAUUGCAGCUGAAGAACGUCAGCUGCCUAGACAAACCAGGGUAGUUUUGGCGCAAUUACGUUCAGGAUGGUGUAGUCGUCUCAAUUCGUAUUUGGCACGAAUUGAUGAAGAUGUGCAUGACGCCUGCCCGGCUUGCGAUACAGGCCCGCACAAUACGCUACACCUCUUUAAUUGCACAGCCAAACCUACCUAGCUCACUCCAAAAGAUCUCUGGCUACAGCCCGUUAAAGUAGCCGAAUUUCUACACCUGGAGCUGGAACCAGAUUAGCAGAACGCAAACACAUGCAUGUACUACUGCUACAACAACAACAAAAUCCUCAAUUGAAAGUCAACAUCCAAAAAUUAGUGUGCCAUUUACAACGAAGUGUAAAGCUACCUACAGGGUGAGUUGAAAAACUGUAAGCAACUUCAGACUCCCGUCAUUUCUGUAACAACAAACAACAAUAAUGUUAUUUCAUUUACUCAUGGUACAAUAAGGAGGUAGAACAGCUAAACUGGUUAAUAGCCUUAAUGCGCGAGCCGCUAUGUACAAGAUUUUGAAAAUAUUUUUUUUUUCAUUUUCAAAACAAUAAAUAAAUACACAAAAUUGGCAGAAGUCGGGCACACUUACAAAAAAAUUGUAAACUGCUGAUAGCUCUACCUUACCUUUUUAUUGUACCAUGCAUUUACCAAUGGUUUUUCGAAAAAUAUUACACUCAGGUCUGUUUUGCAACAUAAUAAUGAUUUGUCAUGAAUCAACCAGAAAGGUUGCUCAACUUGCAACUUAACUCAAUGCAAGUCUGUACCGGAGACUUAAGGUAAGGUCACAUUGGGCAAAUAUUUGACGAAAAAUGUGAAAUAUUUCUUUGUCACAAUCUGACCAUCAAAUAUUAUUUGACGGUAAAUACAAAAACAGCUGAUUUUGUGUCCAUAAUGUGAACACAUAUGAUCAAUUAUUUGCUCUUUUUUGGUCAAACAUUUAUUUGACGGUGCAAAUGAUUUGUAAGGUCAAACAAGGAAAAACAUCAGUUUAAAACAUUGGGCAGCAUUUUGCUUUAACAACCGGAGCAUUUGUAACAUGAUGUUUAAUGAAUAAAAUAAAACAAACGAAUGCAAUAAGUGGUUUUGUUUAUUUGAUAUUUUUGAACUAACUGAAUUUGAAUGUUUAGUAAAAAAUGUGUAUAUUUGGUCUGUUCCAGAACUGCCAGAAUGUAAGUGUUUUUACUACGAUAACCGAUUUUCUCUUUAUUAUAUCGAAGAAAAUUGCGAAACUAUUAGAUUCUUGCAGGUUCUGGAACAAGAUAUAGGUAGAUGCAUCAACGCUUGAAACAAUGAUAUGCCAAAAAUUUUGAAAUGUUUUGACAAAAAUAAGUAGAUUUUUCUAUGUUUUCCUAUACGGCGAAAAAUCGGAGGUUGCAAUGAUAUAUAUUUUUCAACAAUUUUUACAAAUUUCAAUAAUAUUUCAUUCAUUAUUUUCAAUUCCAAAAUUGUUUUGACAGUUUAUUGUCCCAGCAGCUAUGUCGAUGUAACUACCUGUAUUCUUCUACCAUGAUACAAACAAAAAUGCAAAAUAAAAUUUUUGUAACAAGGAAUUUAUUCCACAACAGCUGGUCUUUUGCUUCCCUUCUCCAAAUAAAUUAUACCCGAAACUACAUUUUCUUUAUGUCUCUCUUUCACUCUCUCUGUCUAUUUCUCUUGGCCAAAUAAAUUUAUGUUUCCUCACAGUUUGAUCAAACAAUUUAAUGGGAAAAUAUAUUUUACGAAUGUGAACAUGUGUCAAACAUGUUUUCCCAUAGCACUGUUUGACGCUGUUUGGUGGCUGCUUGAACAAACAAAAUCUGUCAAAUAUUUGACUGUAAUGUGAACAUCGAAUCAACUCUGUAUGAAUUUCACAUUUGUUCAGUCAAAUAUGGGAAAACAAAUUUCGAUCAAAUAUUUGCCCAGUGUGACCGUACCUUUAUAAAGCACAUUUAUACUAUUGAAGAUUAAUCCAUUAGGUAUAUUAGUUUCAGUAGAUUAAUCUUAAAUCUUCUAUUAGAAAAUAAGAGUUUUCAUAUGUAGUCUCAAAUUUUCUAUACGUAGCAGUUGCACACAUCAUGUAAAGCAUGGACGACAUUGCAGUUGAGAAAUACAUAAUUAAAGUACAUAUGUGCAUUUUCGAUCACAACGAUCAUUUUUUUAUCGGAACAAAAUAAUUUAAUCAAAAGUCUUGUUUGUCUAUAAUAUAAAAUUAAAUUUGAGGUAAAAAGUCAUCCAUAAAGUAUUAUAAUUUUUGAGAAAAUACAAUAUAAUCGCAAUGAUAGUAAGAAUUAUGAGUCAUAUGUAAAAUGGCAAUUUUCACAUACACUCAAAAAUACACAUAAAUAACAAUAGUGACAGGACAUAAGUAAACCCCUUAUCGUUUGAUACCAGCUAAUGCUAUGUUCUCAUUACAAGUCCAAUCACGUUGUUCGCUCUCAGAAUUACGUACACGAAUUAACUCGUUCAUACGAUACAUUCGUGAUUAAUUUGGACAAUUCCACUCCGUCGUUUCAAUAAUAGUUAUACAUAUUUCCGUUCAAUAUUUAAAUUAUAAAAUGGACAAUUUCAAUGCAAAAGGUAAGUAAAAUAAUUGUAAUAUGCAAAUAUAUGCGUUCUUGUCAAAUUUAGGAAGCCGAAAAAUUCCCAGCAAGUGGGAUGUAAGAGCCGAACAAGCUCUAUUGGAAGUCCAAUCACGUUGUUCGCUCUCAGAAUUACGUACACGAAUUAACUCGUUCAUACGAUACAUUCGUGAUUAAUUUGGACAAUUCCACUUCGUCGUUUCAAUAAUAGUUAUACAUAUUUCCGUUCAAUAUUUAAAUUAUAAAAUGAACAAUUUCAAUGCAAAAGGAAGCCGAAAAACUCCCAGCAAGUGGGAUGUAAGAGCCGAACAAGCUCUAUUGGAAGUUUGGAGUAAUUAUAUGGGCCAACUACGAGGAUGUCGCAAAAACAGUCAUAUUCUAAAAGAGAUGACCGAAGAAUUAAAAAAAAAUUGGAUUUACAUAUACGGCUUGUGAAUUACAAACAAAAAUGCAUAACAUAACAGCGAGCUAUAGGUAUGUUUUGAAAGAACCGUUAAUAAUUUGUUAAUAGUUUUUUUAGGAGGGAAAAACGUAAAUUGGCACAACUGGGGGAUCGCCAUCGGAGUGGGACCUGUACAAGGAUGUAGAGAUCCUCCUAGCGCCGUGCAAGAACUUGAAUACAGAGUUCCUGGUUGUGGAUAAUAAAGAUAAUGUUAAUAGCAUUUUGACGUGCGACGUACCUACCGUAGAAUAUUCACCCCCUUCAUCACCGCCCAUGAUCACUGAUCAAUACAUCUCAAAUCCCCCAGACUACUCACCAGAAAUGUCACAAGCCUCAACAUUCAGCAGUCAUUUCAUAUGCAAUUCUCCAGAUCCCCCAACAGAAAUGCCUUCAACUUCAUCAUCAUCCAGGAAGAGAAAAAGAGACAAAUAAUAUGUAGAAAAAGUAUAGAAAAAAUAAACGUUUUAAUAGAAAUAGAAAAAAAGGAAGCAAUUGAGGAAAGAAAGGAAAUUUUUGGAAAGAGAGGCAGAGGUACAAAAAGCGUUGAUAACAUUUUUAAAAAAUACUAAAGCAUCUGAACCAUAAUGUUAUAAUUUCUAUCUUUCUUUGUAAUUUAUUUGUAUCUUAUAUGUUUAUAUAUUUUUUUACUCAAAUACAUAUAUAUUAA